This 304-nucleotide ribosomal RNA is filed under the name uncultured eukaryote. RNAcentral's name for it is "partial large subunit ribosomal RNA". It matches the Rfam family "Eukaryotic large subunit ribosomal RNA", at positions 40 to 350 of the family's 3401-position model. The record is from RNAcentral.
AUAUAACUAAGCGGAGGAAAAGAAACUAACUAGGAUUCCCUCAGUAACGGCGAGUGAAGCGGGAAAAGCUCAGACGUAAAAUCUUCGGAGUUGUCGUCUGGAGAAGCAACAUCGGUGUCGAGUGGGUCGGGUAAAGUCCUCUGGAACGAGGCGCCAGUGAGGGUGACAGCCCCGUACAUACCUGACUUCCUACUCGCAUCAUUUGUGCUUUCAACGAGUCGAGUUGUUUGGGAUUGCAGCUCUAAGCGGGUGGUAAAUUCCAUCUAAAGCUAAAUAUUGGUGGGAGACCGAUAGCGCACAAGUA